AGGACGAACGCUGGCGGCGUGCUUAACACAUGCAAGUCGAACGGGGUCCAACCAGUCGCAAGACUGGGGAAGACUUAGUGGCGAACGGGUGAGUAACACGUGAGCAACCUGCCCCGAAGACCGGGAUAACAGCGGGAAACCGCUGCUAAUACCGGAUGCCCCCACCGGGCCGCAUGACCUGGUGAGGAAAUGGAUUCCGCUUCGGGAGGGACUCGCGGCCUAUCAGCUUGUUGGUGGGGUAAUGGCCUACCAAGGCGUCGACGGGUAGCUGGUCUGAGAGGACGAUCAGCCACACUGGGACUGAGACACGGCCCAGACUCCUACGGGAGGCAGCAGUGGGGAAUCUUGCGCAAUGGGCGAAAGCCUGACGCAGCAACGCCGCGUGAGGGACGAAGGCCUUCGGGUUGUAAACCUCUUUCAGCAGGGACGAUUGUGACGGUACCUGCAGAAGAAGGACCGGCCAACGUACGCGCCAGCAGCCGCGGUAA
This 488-nucleotide ribosomal RNA is filed under the name uncultured bacterium. Its description in RNAcentral is "SSU rRNA". It matches the Rfam family "Bacterial small subunit ribosomal RNA", at positions 26 to 523 of the family's 1533-position model. The record is from RNAcentral.